This 486-nucleotide long non-coding RNA is filed under the name Oryza sativa tropical japonica subgroup. RNAcentral's name for it is "lncRNA OsAzu_01g0034200". Lineage: Eukaryota; Viridiplantae; Streptophyta; Magnoliopsida; Poales; Poaceae. RNAcentral also lists the same sequence under 1 other name. The record is from RNAcentral.
CUGCACCGCAUUCUCUGCCUCUCUCUAUCGUUGUCAUCCUCCCCGGCCUCCUCCGCCUCGCGCCGUCGCCGGCCGGGGGCAGCAAAUCCGGUGCCAACGCUGGCGGAUUUGGCCCUCCCGCGGCUAGAUCGGGAUGGAAAUAGUGGCGAUGCCAACGGUGUCGGGCGUGGCGCCAACCCCUCCGCCCCGCAGCUCCUCCGCCGGCGGACGCACGAAGCGGAGAAGGAGGCGCGGUGCGAUGAGACUGAGGAGAGAGCGAGAGUGAGGCGAGGGUGCAAGGGGAAACUUGGGGGAACGACGCCAUGCCCACGAGCUCCACAUGCGCUCAACGCGGCGCCUGGCUGCGACUCCCCACAAAAAAGUUGGCAAGGCGCAGAGAGAGCCGCGUUCCAUCGUGGGGGGACGACGUGGACGGAAAAGCAAACGGCCAUCGCUAGGGAUACUCUCUCCAGGGUCACGCAUUUAACAUGCCCUAAUAAGCUAUAG